Molecule: ribosomal RNA, 253 nt
Filed under: uncultured bacterium
Lineage: Bacteria
Description: partial 16S ribosomal RNA
Rfam family: Bacterial small subunit ribosomal RNA
Source: RNAcentral
UACGUAGGGCGCAAGCGUUGUCCGGAAUUAUUGGGCGUAAAGAGCUCGUAGGCGGCCAGUUGCGUCUGCUGUGAAAUCCCGGGGCUCAACCCCGGGCGUGCAGUGGAUACGGGCUGGCUAGAGGCAGGCAGGGGAGAACGGAAUUCCCGGUGUAGCGGUGAAAUGCGCAGAUAUCGGGGGGAACACCGGUGGCGAAGGCGGUUCUCUGGGCCUGUACUGACGCUGAGGAGCGAAAGCGUGGGGAGCGAACAGG